Molecule: ribosomal RNA, 421 nt
Filed under: uncultured bacterium
Lineage: Bacteria
Description: partial 16S ribosomal RNA
Rfam family: Bacterial small subunit ribosomal RNA
Source: RNAcentral
AAUAUUAGACAAUUGGGUCAAUCCUGAGUCAGCCAUCUCGCGUGUGGGAAGAAGGUCUUCGGUUUAUAAAGCACUUUAAGGUGGGAGGAAGUGCUUUAGGCUCAUACCCUAACGUUUUGACGUUACCAACAGAAUAAGUACCUGUUAACUCUGUGCCAGCAGCCGCGGUAAUACAGAGGGUGCAAGCGUUAAUCGGAAUUACUGGGCGUAAAGCGCGCGUAGGUGAUUCAGUAAGAUGGGUGUGAAAUCCCCGGGCUUAACCUGGGAACUGCUUUCAUAACUGCUGAGCUAGAGUAAGGUAGAGGGUAGUGGAAUUUCCUGUGUAGCGGUGAAAUGCGUAGAUAUAGGAAGGAACACCAGUGGCGAAGGCGACUACCUGGACUGAUACUGACACUGAGGUGCGAAAGCGUGGGGAGCAAAC